CCCGUUAUAUACUCAACUUGAAAUAGGAUAUUCUCGUAGACGACAAGAGCACGAAGUGAAAGAGAACUCUGUCGGCUUAUCUGUCUGGUUGUCUUCUUUUCGGCGGUUAGCUUGUUCUGCUCAAUCAAAUAGUGCAUUUCUUCUUAAGAACAUAGACCUGCUCGCUCCUAUCUGAAGAACAUAGACCCGAGAGUCCUACUGAGAUUCCCUCUUUCCCGCCGGCAGUCAGGUGUUUGCGAACAGUCAAACUAGGUACCUCUGAUCUUGCUCCACUGAUCUAACAGGCUUCCACAAAACACAUAGAAAGAAGAGAGUUGCCCUUAGAAUUAAUGCCCUAAAUAAGGGACCAUCGAGAUAAGAAUAAGAGGCCUAAGGCUAAAGAAUCAGCAGUGAAUGAAUCAAUUCCAGUAUAAGCUUGGCGCUCUUCAUUCUAUACAACGUUGCUCAUCCCGGCGCUUGGCCAUUAGUAUAUGCUUGGCGUUUCAUCCGUGUUUGGAAGUUCAUCUCUUUGCGAAUGCGAAUCUAAACUCCCUGGUGCCUAAGGAGAAGUCAAAGCGUAAGCACCACUCACGGCUACUGGUUGAAUUCAAAAGAAAAGGGAAGCUGUAUCCUUAGCAGACUUUCUCACGGCUUCUUAAACAAGAACGGAAUGACUUGAAGCAUCUGAUCUUUCUCCCCAAAACGGGACUUGCGCCGAGGAAACUAUCUUAUGAAAUUCAUACGUUAAGGACGGACUGUUUUUUGAAUGCAAGUAGUAGUUGUUACUCGUAUAUGGAUCUGGUGCUACAAAUAAGGAAUUGACUGAUCCUUAUCUUUAUUCUGUUGCAGAUGAUCUGACUUUAGCCUAAACCGAGGAUGCAGCGUCCGUAUUAGUUGCCUUCACAAUGGCCUGGCCCGCCUACUGUUCUCAGUACGCAAAGAACCUAUAUCUCUGGUCGCCAACUGUCAACGUAACUCUUAUGGGAUUCUAUUCUUUGUCAGGAGAGAGAACAAGUAACGACUUUCGAACAAGCAUCCAAAGAGACUAUACUUCAAUGAAACUACAAGGAAAACCCUAACCAUAAGGACCAGCAUCAUAUACUCUAAGUGAAAAGCCGAGGCGACUGUGCGUAUAAGCGCGGGUUCCCUUGCAUCACUUUGAACGCAACAUUUGUAGUUGCUAGGUUCUCUCUUCCUAAUACCGAACACUUAUUGAGCGGAACUCUGACCCAAUAUAUCAUUUGAUUACUAGCAAUAGGGAUCGAAAGAAACUACAACAUCGAAAUUAGUACCGUUAUCCACUUUCUUAUUUCACCCUUGGCCACUAUAUCAUUUCUAUACUAGCAAUAGUUACCGUUAUCCACUUUAGCAAUAGUUACAGUUAUCCACUUUCAUAUUUACAGAGAUUAGGAAUAGUCGCAUAAAGAUACUUACUUAUAGCCUUGCCUUCCCAGCUAUAUGCACCAAGAUCUACUGGACUGUCUUUCUUUAUUGAGCUUAAUUCUGACCCUUUCCCUUUCUGAACCUUUAUCUUUAAGAGCAUUUAGGCACCUUUAAUAUCAGCUAGCUUAGUAGGGGUUGCAUACUUCCCCUUUCAUUAUUGGAUUUAUUUCCGAACAAGUUCCUGGAUACCAAGCCCAAGGGUAAUCUUAUUGAUGAUAUCGACGAUGGUCUUGAUAUGCCUCAAAUCUUUGUUGUGAAAUAGGUGGGACAGAAAGAUUCUUCCGACUACGUCCUUCUAGAAUUCAAAUGGAGAAAGACAGGAACGGAGGACCAUGAACCAUAUGCUUGAUCGGGGGUUGAAAAACCUCUAUUCUUGGAAAAGAUUGGUUGGAAGAUCCCGCCCCAAUAGCCCAGCGGGCAGAGAACAUUCAAUCAGAAAGCGACUAACCAAAGGGGAGAAAGGCAGGACCCAGUAGGCAUGUAAGCUAGCUGCUAGCCUUUUCUAUGGGGAGUUCCCUUAUUUAGAUACGCUCUAUAUCCGUUCCUUUAUUUAGAUACAGGUAAAACUCCAUCAGUUCCUAUUCUUGUAUACGCUUUAUAUCAGUUCCUUUAUAUAGAUAGAAGAUAUAGGUCACAAGUGCUCCGAGUUCCAUUUGGCAUGAUGAGCAUGAGUUUUUCUUCUGGGAGAUGACAGCGACAGUAGCUCUCAUUCGUAGAUGCAAAGCGAACUCCACUUUUGUCCUGUGUGUGGGCGUAGUAAUUGUUUCGAUCGACUGCGACAGAGAGUGCUUCACAAGCAAGAAAGUACCUAUCCAGAGCGCUCCUAAAGAACCCGCAGUAAGCCCGGCCUGCAAGGUAAGGUAAGUCAAAAACACUUAUCAGGGACACACAGACAGGCGCAUUCCAUUCUUAGCUAGCGGAUGCAGGGAACAGAACAACUUCAUUGUUCCACCGAAAGAAAGAAAAAACGAAAAGAAGAAGAGCCAAUGCUCAUAAAGAUACUAAGAAGAGCCAAUGCUCAUAAAGAUACUAAUAGCCAAUGCUAAUAAAGCAAAGGAUCUCGCGCUUUGACUUCGUUCGAGUUGAUAGGGCCGUAUUCUCUUGUGUAUAUAACCUAAGUUAGUCUCUGCCAGAAGUUAUACUCCAUUCUAGGUAGUUCAGACAAAUACACCAUUCCACCAGGAGAGAGGAGAGCUGGCUCAUCAAUCGAACACGGGGCUGAGAAGUAGCUUAGCAGCAGCUUAGCAAAGAGGGUGAGCUGAGAGCUUUCAAUAAUCAAAUCCGAGUUUUCUCUUAAGCUUCGCUUCCUUGCUUGGGAUAGGAAGAAAUAGGGUCGACGUAGUUUAGUAUUCUCGACCACCUGGAUCCUGUUCUAUUACAUAGGCUCGACAAAAGAAAGGGAUAGGAGAAAGAAAGUAGCUCCUCGUGGGCAGCUCAUCAGAGGACUAGGGAGGCUCAUUCUAAAGAGAUAAGAAACCGUGCCUUUAGAGAUUAUACGUCGGCUAGCAAUCCUAGUAAUGAGCUCUGUAGAGAAGAGAACUCUUAUCCUCUUCCAGGAGUAGGAAUCCACUUAAGGGAGGGAACUGAACCACGAGCGGCAAAGCUAACCACCAGUUCCGAAGCUCAUCUACCUUCCUUUUAGCAACGGUGUUAGGAGUUUCACAGUAAGUGAGUUGAGAGUUGAAGUCUUAGGUGACUUUCUUCGACCACUACAAGGGCAAUAAGGCUUGAAUGCCAGAACUAGCAACUAUACUCGCAAACUAACAAGCUAUAAGGGAACCAAGUAACGAAUAAGAAGCCGCGAACAAGCAACGUUGUUCUGUUGCGCUUACUUAGUAGAGUGAGCUUUGUUAAGACCUAUGUUCAACGUAGCCCACAGAGCGGUUACUUCGGUAACUUACUCUAAUCCAUGGGAAGAUGGGGACAAAUCAAUAGGAAAAUGCUAUUUGCUUAUCUUAAUAAGAACAACUUCUAUAUGAAAUGAAAGAGUUGGAACGGGCGGGCGUCGGAUAUCAUGGAAAAACGAAAAAGAAAAGAAGCAUCUUCACUACUGGGGCGUUACUCCUUCUCUUUGAUGCUGUAGCUCGGUAGUAAGGGAUUGGUGGGAAGUCACGAAUAUAGUGUAUGUAGGUGCCGAUAUGCUCUUUUGUGAAAGGGUUGAGUUAGGUACCAAUUGAGGAUAUUCGUUGCAACCCAUAUGAAUUGGCCGACACCGAACCCUGCAUCUUCACUACUGGGUAAGAGGGUGUAUAACGGGUCUUUCAUAGACAAUCGUAGUUACUGCCUUUCAAGGGGGGCGGACUGGUAGCGAGUAAGAGCUGGAAAGGGUAAGAAAUGACAACGAUGCGCGGGAACGAAAUAAGCAGGUAUAUAAGGGUACCUAUGGCAAAGUCAAUCAUCUAAGGUUUCUAUUGGGGUGCCUCUCUCUUACAGCAGGAGCAUAGUUAAGCAUCCUAACCGGUUUGUUCAUAAGAGUUUGUGUUGGACGUGAAAACCUCGUAGACGGAAAUCAGAUAUACUACUUGAAGGGAUAUCCCCGGCGCAAACGAAAUAUCUGGCCGAUCAAUAGGAGUGGUACGAGUGUCUGAGGGGCCCUGCCCUUUCGAUUCACGGAAUGUGAGAAGAAGUUGACUGCUUUCUGUUCGUUCCUUUCCCCCUAGAAUCAAAACCUGUAAGGGAAGCUUUUAGGUCAGUAGUGGAUUCCCAUGCUCGAUGAAAAGUCUUAGUCCCCAGAGGGCUUGCUCAUUAUUCCGGUAGCUAACUCAAUCUGAUAGUUAGUAUUUCCAGCCUUCAUUUCGAGUUCCAUUAUUCUUAGUAUUCAUUUGAGUCUUGCUAUUAGGGGGUGGAUCUUGUUGGCAGUGGUUCUAUCCUUUAUUAGUGGAUCGAGUUAGAUGUCCCUAUUGUAGGUUUAAGUAAGAGAAGUACUUGUUUGAUUCUGCCAUUAGUGGUAUAUUUCCUAGUUAUAAGGUAAAGUAUGGGAAGCACUAGGCUUUCAGUACCUAGUAUCUAAUAGUUUAGAGAGUGAGAUAGAGCAAUGGGAGACUUGAAGCAAGGCGGGGCAGACCAAUGGACAUGGUAUUGAGAACGAAGUCGGGGCGGUAUUGAGAACGAAGGCAAGUGGACAAAGGCUAAGAUAUAGUUCCUGGCGAUAAUAAGUAUGAGUUUCCCCGCUCUAACUCCUGUAGUUGUUCCUUUCAUUCUAUGUUAUUGUUGAUGAUUAUUUUCAUUUGUAUUAAUUCUCCUUUUCACUUGUAUUGAUAUGUGUGUUGAAUAAGUCAUAGAAGAAUUGUAAUUAAUAGAAUAAUAGUAAUAUAAGAAAUAAUUGGUUCCAAAGCAACUAAGUAAGGGCUUCAACUUCACUUUCUCUUACUAGAAGCGACUAUCACUCAGAUUCUAUAUGUCCUUCUUUAAAACAAAUACGAGUAGUAAAGUACUUAUCGGACUGAAACCACCCACUAUAGUAUAGCAAUACAGAAUACAAGUCUUCUCCCCAGUAGAAUUAUAGGAAUAUGGGUAAUAUAAGUAGUAAAUAGAAUAAUAAGAAUAAAGAAGAUAACUCAUAGGGUACGAUGUAGUGCUGUAUAAUACUUUUUGUAGUCAGCAUCGGAAUGAAACGCGGGUGGGCUCUAAAGUAGGCAAGUUCGAAUGGAAACUGUAAGAAUGGAAUUAGUUGACUCGGUAUCAGCAGCAGAAUGAGAAUGCCCUGCUCCUGUUAAAGGGAGGAAGCC
RNAcentral lists this long non-coding RNA (5150 nucleotides) under Musa acuminata (dwarf banana). Its description in RNAcentral is "long non-coding RNA (MACU_LNC007801)". Lineage: Eukaryota; Viridiplantae; Streptophyta; Magnoliopsida; Zingiberales; Musaceae. The record is from RNAcentral.